AAUAGAUACCCUGGUAGUCCACGCCGUAAACGACUGGAUGCUAGCUAGUUAGAAGUAUCGGACCCUUCUAGUAGCGAAGCUAACGCGUUAAGCAUCCCGCCUGUGGAGUACGGUCGCAAGACUAAAACAUAAAGGAAUUGACGGGGACCCGCACAAGCGGUGGAGCGUGUUGUUUAAUUCGAUGAUAAGCGAAGAACCUUACCCAGACUUGACAUCCUUGGAAGGCAUCCGAAAGGAUACUGUGCCCUCGGGAACCAAGUGACAGGUGUUGCAUGGCCGUCGUCAGCUCGUGUCGUGAGAUGUUUGGUUAAGUCCAUUAACGAGCGCAACCCUUUUAGUUAGUUGUAUUUUUCUAGCUAGACUGCCCCGGUAACGGGGAGGAAGGAGGGGAUGAUGUCAGGUCAGUAUUACCCUUACGUCUGGGGCUACAAACACGCUACAAUGGCCGGUACAAAGGGCUGCCAACCCGCGAGGGGGAGCAAAUCUCAUCAAAGCCGGUCUCAGUUCGGAUAGCAGGCUGAAACUCGCCUGCUUGAAGUCGGAAUCG
This 547-nucleotide ribosomal RNA is filed under the name uncultured bacterium. Its description in RNAcentral is "bacterial SSU rRNA". It matches the Rfam family "Bacterial small subunit ribosomal RNA", at positions 777 to 1334 of the family's 1533-position model. The record is from RNAcentral.